CGUGAGGGAAAGGUGAAAAGAACCCCGGGAGGGGAGUGAAAGAGAACCUGAAACCAUAUGCCUACAAGAAGUCAGAGCCCGUUAAAGGGUGAUGGCGUGCCUUUUGUAGAAUGAACCGGCGAGUUACUGUAUGGAGCGAGGUUAAGCAGGAUAUGCGGAGCCGAAGCGAAAGCGAGUCUUAAGAGGGCGAGAGUUGCAUGCAGUAGACCCGAAACCGGGUGAUCUAGCCAUGACCAGGUUGAAGUUGGGGUAAAACCCGAUGGAGGACCGAACCGACCCCCGUUGAAACGUUGGCGGAUGAGUUGUGGCUAGGGGUGAAAUUCCAAUCGAACCCGGAGAUAGCUGGUUCUCCCCGAAAUAGCUUUAGGGCUAGCGUCGAGGUAAGUUGCGUGAAGGUAGAGCACUGAAUAUGUGAUGGCCCCAUCUCGGGGUACUGAGCAUAAUCAAACUGCGAAUGUCACGAUAACAUGCUCGGCAGUCAGACAGCGGGUGAUAAGGUCCGUUGUCAAGAGGGAAACAGCCCAGACCAUCAGCUAAGGUCCCAAAAUGUAUGCUAAGUGGAAAAGGAUGUGGAGAUGUACAGACAACUAGGAGGUUGGCUCAGAAGCAGCCAUCCUUUAAAGAGUGCGUAACAGCUCACUAGUCGAAUGACUCUGCGCCGAUAAUUUACCGGGGCUAAGCAUACUACCGAAGCUAUGGAUCCCAAGGGAUGGUAGGGGAGCGUUCCAUGAACGGAGAAGUACGACCGAAAGGACGUGUGGAGAUCAUGGAAGAGAGAAUGCCGGUGUGAGUAGCGGAACGUGGGUGAGAAUCCCACGCACCGAAAACCCAAGGUUUCCAGAGGAAGGUUCGUCCGCUCUGGGUAAGUCGGGACCUAAGGCGAGGCCGAAAGGCGUAGUCGAUGGACAACAGGUAGAGAUUCCUGUACCCGUAUAUAUGUGAAGGAAUGACGGAGAGAGGAAGCUGCAGCCAGCGGCUGGAAGAGCUGGUGCAAGCGAGAUAUCGGGAUGGCAGGCAAAUCCACCAUCCGAAACGAGAAGGCGUGAAGCGUACGGAAAGCUACGGCGAGUACGGAAGGCAGUGGAGGAACUUCCAAGAAAAGUUUCUAACGUUAAGUAUAUAUGGCCCGUACCGAAAAUGGACACACAUGGGUGAGGAGAGAAUCCUAAGGUGAGCGAGAGAACUAUAGCUAAGGAACUCUGCAAAAUGACUCCGUAACUUAGGGAGAAGGAGUGCUCAUAGAGAUAUGAGCCGCAGUGAAACGGCCCAAGCGACUGUUUACCAAAAACACAGCUCUCUGCUAAGCCGCAAGGCGAAGUAUAGGGGGUGACGCCUGCCCGGUGCUGGAAGGUUAAGGGGAGGGGUUAACGCAAGUGAAGCCCUGAACUGAAGCCCCAGUAAACGGCGGCCGUAACUAUAACGGUCCUAAGGUAGCGAAAUUCCUUGUCAGGUAAGUUCUGACCCGCACGAAAGGCGUAACGAUUUGGGCGCUGUCUCAGCUGUAGACUCGGUGAAGUCUUAGUACCUGUGAAGAUGCAGGUUACCCGCGACUAGACGGAAAGACCCCAUGGAGCUUCACUGCAGGUUGAUAUUGGGAUUUGAUGCAGCAUGUACAGGAUAGGUAGGAGGCAAAGAGAUGGAUACGCCAGUAUUCAAGGAGCCGCUGUUGGGAUACUACCCCUGUUGUAUUGGAUUUCUAACCGGACGACGUAGAGCCGUUGACGGGACAGUGUCAGUCGGGCAGUUUGACUGGGGCGGUCGCCUCCCAAAGAGUAACGGAGGCGCCCAAAGAUACCCUCAGCUUGGAUGGAAACCAAGCGCAGAGUGCAAAGGCAAAAGGGUGUUUGACUGCGAGACCCACAAGUCGAGCAGGGACGAAAGUCGGGCUUAGUGAUCCGGCGGUGCUGAAUGGAAAGGCCGUCGCUCAACGGAUAAAAGCUACCCUGGGGAUAACAGGCUGAUCUCCCCCAAGAGUUCACAUCGACGGGGAGGUUUGGCACCUCGAUGUCGGCUCAUCGCAUCCUGGAGCUGAAGUCGGUUCCAAGGGUUGGGCUGUUCGCCCAUUAAAGCGGUACGCGAGCUGGGUUCAGAACGUCGUGAGACAGUUCGGUCCCUAUCUGUCGUGGGCGCAGGAAAUUUGAGAAGAGCUGUCCUCAGUACGAGAGGACCGGGAUGGACGCAUCAAUGGUGGACCAGUUGUCACGCCAGUGGCAUAGCUGGGUAGCUAAAUGCGGAAGGGAUAAACGCUGAAGGCAUCUAAGUGUGAAACCCACUUCAAGAUGAGAUUUCCCAUUGC
Molecule: ribosomal RNA, 2296 nt
Filed under: human gut metagenome
Description: bacterial LSU rRNA
Rfam family: Bacterial large subunit ribosomal RNA
Source: RNAcentral